CGGGUCGGUCGGGCAGUCGCUCGGGGCCUUUCGCCCCGAGAGGAAAGUCCGGGCUCCAUAGGGCGCGGUGCUGGUUAAAGGCCAGCGAAGGCGACUUCGGGAAAGCGCAACAGAGAGGAGACCGCCUCUUUGACAAGGCCGCGGGCCUUCAAGAGAGGUAAGGGUGAAAGGGUGAGGCAAGAGCUCACCGGCCGCCUGGGCGACCAGGCGGGCCAGGCAAACCCCACUGGGAGCAAGACCUAAUAGAAAACGAUAAGACGGCCCGUCUUGUUUUCGGGUAGGUCGCUCGCCCGCCGGAGAGAUCCGGCGGCUAGACGAAUGGCUGCCAAGCCCUCAACGACUAUUAGCUUGGGGGCUAUACAGAACCCGGCUUAUAGACUGACCCGGCUU
Molecule: RNase P RNA, 390 nt
Filed under: Deltaproteobacteria bacterium
Lineage: Bacteria; Pseudomonadati; Myxococcota; Myxococcia
Description: RNase P RNA component class A
Rfam family: Bacterial RNase P class A
About the family: Ribonuclease P (RNase P) is a ubiquitous endoribonuclease, found in archaea, bacteria and eukarya as well as chloroplasts and mitochondria. Its best characterised activity is the generation of mature 5'-ends of tRNAs by cleaving the 5'-leader elements of precursor-tRNAs.
Source: RNAcentral